CUAGUUUCAUCGGUUUUGUUGAAUAUUUCUUAAUAGAAUAAAGAUUUAAUUAUGCAAGAUCUUCAAACAUGGACCAAGACAACGCCAAUUUUAGUACUUGUUGUUGUAUUGGUAUUGCAAUUAUUCCAAGGACAAUUUUUUGUUCUUAUAAAACAUCCAAAGAAAGAACAGCCUGUGAAAAAUGUGAUUUUGCUUUUAUCUCCAACUUUCGUCAUUUUAUCCAUCGCCUGAGUACUUUUGAGAGUGGAAAUCCUAUUAAGUUUAAAAGCUCAUAAAAUGAAUGUUGUUUAAUACCAUUACCAUUGGUUGUAUUUAACCAGUUAGUAGCGAUCUGGAAAUACUUUUUGCUGCUUUGAAAGCAUGAGUAUUUCAGAAGGUCUUGCAUAAAGUUGUGGAUUUUUAUGAUAUGAUUUUGGUCAUCUAUUACAGCUCUCAAUCUAUAUUCAUGGUGCAAUUGGCUUGAGGGUCACAAUUCCAGCAUUGUACACCAGUUGAUGUUAAUUGUUGGUUGGAGCAAAAUUCUUAGUGGUUUAAAGAUUCGUUAAGUUGAAUUUAUCUGUUUGGCUUGAGGGUCACAAUUCCAACAUUGUACACCACUUUUAAGCUUACCCAAAAUCAAGAUCAAAAUCCGCAAGUCAAGAUCGAAAUCAACACAAGGCCAAUCUGCCUUGUGAUGGAGGUGAAGGACUGGCUGGAGGGAUGAGGAAGACGACGGGGUGCUGGAGGGAGGACAAGCGCGCGCGUCGUUGAUGACUCGAUGUGGUUCUCUCUCUGUCUCGGGUCUGUGGCUGGGGUUUUUGGGAGAAGAAAGUGAUUACUGACAGAAUAAAAAUAAUUAAAUGGGUUAAUUAUCAUUUUGCUCCCUAACCUUUGAAAUUUCUCUCUCCCUCUAAAAUUUAAUUAUUAUUAUUUUUCUUGUCUUCUUCCAGUUUUCAACGUAGUAGGUAGAGUGAAUUUGACAUUAGGCACGUGGUAGCAAGCACAUGGCAAAUUCAUUCUUCUGAUUAUAGCUUUUUGGUUUAGAUUAUGAUCUAUCCUCAUUGAAUGGAUCACUAGCUAGCUUUAUAGUCCAUGUCCUAAUUUAUGAGUAUAGACCAUUUGCAUUCUUUCUAUAACAAUAUGUUACCUGAAUAUAAAACCAACAAUCUUGUUAUGUUGAGUUCAUGUGAUAUCUAGGAAUGGCAAGCACGGUAACGGGAAGAUACAGAGGAUCUGCAUAGAAGACGUCAACAGGAAGAGGAAGAAGAGAAAGGAAAGGUUAAAGAGUAUUGUGAAAUUGCACACACUUGAAAGCGUAUCCAGAAAGAAAGAAAAAAUGCCACAAAGACUGGUUUCUAGCUUCAUCAGAGCUGCUAGAGAUUGGAGAAGUGGUGAAGGAAAUUGGGGAAGCUGCUGAGAAAGGAGAACUCAAUGGGCUUGUUUUAAUGGUCAUAUGGAAUAGCCCUGAUCUUGCUAGACGAUGAAAUGGAUGCUGUGAGAAGUCUUGAUCUGUUAUACAGAAAGGCUGAGGUUUGAUGAUGAAGGUUGGCUGAAGGAAUGCAAAAAACACACAUGGUGGCACCUUUCCAUGAGAGGAUCCAUUUAGCGUUCUUGUUCCAACAGGAUUUGAAGUUAACAAGGUUUAGUAAUGGUUUUGUAGGCUAUUAUGGUACCACAUGGCACAAUACAUUUUUAGCUUUACAGAUUGCAGCUCUACGACUAGUACAAAGGAGCCCAUCCCAAAAUUCAGCUUUUGCCAACUGCGAGACCAAUUUUUACUAUAUUUUGAAAGCAGAUUCAGAGACUAGAAUGCAAUUGGGUCUCAAGAAGAAUCAUUCUGAAGAUUCUCCUGUGGUUCUAUAUGUUAGGAUUAGUGCCCUUAAAUCCUAUUGUAUGAUGCU
This is an RNA transcript of Quercus lobata, 1880 nucleotides long. RefSeq lists it as uncharacterized. The record is from RefSeq and is a predicted model, not a curated record. NCBI's taxonomy places the organism in Eukaryota, Viridiplantae, Streptophyta, Magnoliopsida, Fagales, Fagaceae. The transcript has 6 exons.